UACGUAGGGUGCAAGCGUUAAUCGGAAUUACUGGGCGGAAAGCGUGCGCAGGCGGUUUUGUAAGUCUGUCGUGAAAGCCCCGGGCUCAACCUGGGAAUUGCGAUGGAGACUGCAAGGCUUGAAUCUGGCAGAGGGGGGUAGAAUUCCACGUGUAGCAGUGAAAUGCGUAGAGAUGUGGAGGAACACCGAUGGCGAAGGCAGCCCCCUGGGUCAAGAUUGACGCUCAUGCACGAAAGCGUGGGGAGCAAACAGG
RNAcentral lists this ribosomal RNA (253 nucleotides) under uncultured bacterium. Its description in RNAcentral is "partial 16S ribosomal RNA". It matches the Rfam family "Bacterial small subunit ribosomal RNA", at positions 524 to 776 of the family's 1533-position model. The record is from RNAcentral.